Molecule: ribosomal RNA, 497 nt
Filed under: uncultured bacterium
Lineage: Bacteria
Description: partial 16S ribosomal RNA
Rfam family: Bacterial small subunit ribosomal RNA
Source: RNAcentral
GAUGAACGCUGGCGGCGUGCCUAAUACAUGCAAGUCGAGCGAACAGAUAAGGAGCUUGCUCCUUUGACGUUAGCGGCGGACGGGUGAGUAACACGUGGGUAACCUACCUAUAAGACUGGCAUAACUCCGGGAAACCGGGGCUAAUGCCGGAUAACAUGUUGAACCGCAUGGUUCUACAGUGAAAGGGGGCUUUGCUGUCACUAGUAGAUGGACCCGCGCCGUAUUAGCUAGUUGGUGCGGUAACGGCUCACCAAGGCAACGAUACGUAGCCGACCUGAGAGGGUGAUCGGCCACACUGGAACUGAGACACGGUCCAGACUCCUACGGGAGGCAGCAGUAGGGAAUCUUCCGCAAUGGGCGAAAGCCUGACGGAGCAACGCCGCGUGAGUGAUGAAGGUCUUCGGAUCGUAAAACUCUGUUAUUAGGGAAGAACAAAUGCGUAAGUAACUGUGCGCGUCUUGACGGUACCUAAUCAGAAAGCCACGGCUAACUACGUG